This 497-nucleotide ribosomal RNA is filed under the name uncultured bacterium. RNAcentral's name for it is "partial 16S ribosomal RNA". It matches the Rfam family "Bacterial small subunit ribosomal RNA", at positions 28 to 507 of the family's 1533-position model. The record is from RNAcentral.
GACGAACGCUGGCGGCGUGCCUAACACAUGCAAGUCGAGCGAACAGACGAGGAGCUUGCUCCUCUGACGAUAGCGGCGGACGGGUGAGUAACACGUGGAUAACCCACCUAUCAGACUGGGAUAACUUCGGGACACCGGCUCUAACACCGGAUGAUAUAUUGAACCACAUGGUCCAAUAGUGAAAGACGGCUUUGCGGGCUGGUAUAGAUGGAUACGCGCUGCUUGAGCUGGUUGGUAAGGAAACAGCUUACCAAGGCAAGCAUGCGUAGCCGACGGCAGAGGGUGAUCGGCGACACGGGAAGUGAGACACGGACCAGAGUCCUACGGGACGGAGCAGUAGGGAACGGUACGCAGUGGGCGAGAGCCUGACAGAGCAGCGGCGCGUGAGAGACGAAGGUGUCGCGAGCGUAAUGCUCUGUUAUUAGUGAUGAACAAAUGUGUAAGUAGCUAUGCACGUAUUGACGGUACCUGAUCAAGAAGCCACGGCUAACUACGUG